GAUGCCAGGGGGCAAAGGUCUAAAUCCACUUGAGCUUGCUCAUAAGUGGAUGAAAGACCUUUAGCCCCGCCCCCAAUAUGAGCAUAAAAGUGGGAUGUUAAUCCCACGAUAUGCGAAUAGUGGGGAGGCUUGUGAGAGUGCGCAGCACGGAACAAGCCGUAGGCAU
RNAcentral lists this small RNA (166 nucleotides) under uncultured Acetatifactor sp. RNAcentral's name for it is "Clostridiales-1 RNA". It matches the Rfam family "Clostridiales-1 RNA". Lineage: Bacteria; Bacillati; Bacillota; Clostridia; Lachnospirales; Lachnospiraceae. The record is from RNAcentral.